RNAcentral lists this ribosomal RNA (646 nucleotides) under uncultured bacterium. RNAcentral describes it as "bacterial SSU rRNA". It matches the Rfam family "Bacterial small subunit ribosomal RNA", at positions 36 to 730 of the family's 1533-position model. The record is from RNAcentral.
CUGGCGGCAGGCUUAACACAUGCAAGUCGAGCGCCCCGCAAGGGGAGCGGCAGACGGGUGAGUAACGCGUGGGAAUCUACCGUGCCCUACGGAAUAGCUCCGGGAAACUGGAAUUAAUACCGUAUACGCCCUACGGGGGAAAGAUUUAUCGGGGUAUGAUGAGCCCGCGUUGGAUUAGCUAGUUGGUGGGGUAAAGGCCUACCAAGGCGACGAUCCAUAGCUGGUCUGAGAGGAUGAUCAGCCACAUUGGGACUGAGACACGGCCCAAACUCCUACGGGAGGCAGCAGUGGGGAAUAUUGGACAAUGGGCGCAAGCCUGAUCCAGCCAUGCCGCGUGAGUGAUGAAGGUCUUAGGAUUGUAAAGCUCUUUCACCGGUGAAGAUAAUGACGGUAACCGGAGAAGAAGCCCCGGCUAACUUCGUGCCAGCAGCCGCGGUAAUACGAAGGGGGCUAGCGUUGUUCGGAAUUACUGGGCGUAAAGCGCACGUAGGCGGAUAUUUAAGUCAGGGGUGAAAUCCCAGAGCUCAACUCUGGAACUGCCUUUGAUACUGGGUAUCUUGAGUAUGGAAGAGGUGAGUGGAAUUCCGAGUGUAGAGGUGAAAUUCGUAGAUAUUCGGAGGAACACCAGUGGCGAAGGCGGCACCCU